RNAcentral lists this ribosomal RNA (300 nucleotides) under uncultured bacterium. RNAcentral's name for it is "bacterial SSU rRNA". It matches the Rfam family "Bacterial small subunit ribosomal RNA", at positions 399 to 691 of the family's 1533-position model. The record is from RNAcentral.
GCGUGCAGGAAGAAGGCCUUCGGGUUGUAAACUGCUUUUGUACGGAACGAAACGGUAAGAGCUAAUAUCUCUUGCUAAUGACGGUACCGUAAGAAUAAGCACCGGCUAACUACGUGCCAGCAGCCGCGGUAAUACGUAGGGUGCAAGCGUUAAUCGGAAUUACUGGGCGUAAAGCGUGCGCAGGCGGUUUUGUAAGACAGGCGUGAAAUCCCCGGGCUCAACCUGGGAAUGGCGCUUGUGACUGCAAGGCUCGAGUACGGCAGAGGGGGAUGGAAUUCCGCGUGUAGCAGUGAAAUGCGU